UAUAUACUCACGGCGGAGUUCUUUUUUGUUCAUUGCUUGGAAGUAAAAAGAGGUUGAAAAUACAUGCAGCGAUAUAGCCUACUGUUAACGAACAUCCCGACGUCGUCCAUGCUGCUCCGGACGACGGUUAGAUUAAUAUGUAAAUUAUGUGCUGCGCGCUUUCCACUCAGUAUCAAAAUAAACACAACAAAAAUGUCAGUGGUGAGAAAACGGCAGUUAGGAAAACAUCUGAUCAUAGCGAUGUGGAUAUGUUUGGACCUGCUCUGCAAUUCACCAGCAUCAUGUCAACAGAUGAGGGACAGUGGAGUCCUCUGACAUCCAACUGCUUCGGGCGAGUACGGCUGCCAGCCGUCCCAUCACAACAGAAGCGCAGAGCCUGGAGGAGGAGACCAGAAAUGCAGCCCAGACACUGACAAUCGGAGACGCAGCUGUCUCUCUUCAGCUGGAAUUACUGUGGCUUUAAAAGGAACUGAAGGAUGAAUUGGGCGCCCUAUUAAAAUGCAUUGGGUCCAGACGGCUGGAUAUCAAACCUCAGACGUCUGUCAGUCAAUCAGGUUUUCUCCUGCUGCGGUCAGAGGCACUCCGUACUAUGUAGACAGCGAGGCAGCUAACUGUGUUUGGGAACAGAGCAACAUCUAGGACAUCAUGCAGAGGAGAUCCUCCGGUCUGUCUGACAGUGAGGUACACGCGCUUCAGAAAAGCACAGAGGGGAACAUCUCAGCAUGAGGAAGAUGCCAGAAUACAACUGUGUCAUCUCAACACAGAUGUUUUGUGAGUGUAUGCCAAAAAUAAAAUAUCCUCUCUUUUGCCAUUCCAGGAAUAAAUCAAGCUGAGCUGACAAAGACUAGCCUCACAGGGUGUUUGACUGCUGCGUUUGAGUCUUUAAAAGAAAGUUUGAUACCACUA
Molecule: long non-coding RNA, 906 nt
Organism: Ctenopharyngodon idella (grass carp)
Lineage: Eukaryota; Metazoa; Chordata; Actinopteri; Cypriniformes; Xenocyprididae
Exons: 5
Source: RefSeq, a predicted model, not a curated record